Molecule: long non-coding RNA, 628 nt
Organism: Quercus robur (English oak)
Lineage: Eukaryota; Viridiplantae; Streptophyta; Magnoliopsida; Fagales; Fagaceae
Exons: 2
Source: RefSeq, a predicted model, not a curated record
CACUCCUCUUAGAAAAAACUGCAUGAAAGAGCAAAAAUCUGAUGGUGAUAAUCCUCUGGGAAAAGCUGAAGAUGAGUCUGAAACAUCAUGGUUUUACAUUGGAUUAGGGGUUGGAUUUGCACUAGGCUUUUGGGGAGUUUGUGUUGCUCUUUUCUUCAAAAAGACUUGGAGGCAUGCUUAUUUCUGGUUUGUCUAUGACAUGAAAGAUCAGGCCUAUGUGACUACAGUGCUGAAGGUGAACUGGAUCUGCAAAAAGUUUAAGAAGCUGACAUUUUGGUAGCAAAAGGCAUCGAUUCUUCAAUCAAGUAGCUCUGGUCCAUGCUUUCGAAGAGGCCACAAAGAUUAGUUGGCAGAGCAAUUGUGACAAGUAUCAUUACCUCCUGAUCUUGUUCUAAAAUGUGCUUAAAUAAAAUGCUAAGGAUUAUGAUUCCAGCCUAAGACUGUUCGAAUUAUUUAUGUAUGUAGUGGAAGCCAUUUCAGUUUGCACCAAAAAGAAUAGAACAUAAGGUUUGUUGUUUAAUUCUUUACUGUUAGAUUUUUCUGAUAAAAGUUGGAUUCAGUGCUUUUCCAAAUUCACUGUCCUCAACAUUAAAACACACCAAGACAGAAAAGACAGAGUUAUGUGCUA